AUUGAACGCUGGCGGCAUGCCUUACACAUGCAAGUCGAACGGCAGCACGGGAGCAAUCCUGGUGGCGAGUGGCGAACGGGUGAGUAAAGUAUCGGAACGUGCCCAGUCGUGGGGGAUAACGUAGCGAAAGUUACGCUAAUACCGCAUACGAUCUAUGGAUGAAAGCGGGGGAUCGCAAGACCUUGCGCGAUUGGAGCGGCCGAUAUCAGAUUAGGUAGUUGGUGGGGUAAAGGCUCACCAAGCCGACGAUCUGUAGCUGGUCUGAGAGGACGACCAGCCACACUGGGACUGAGACACGGCCCAGACUCCUACGGGAGGCAGCAGUGGGGAAUCUUGGACAAUGGGCGAAAGCCUGAUCCAGCCAUGCCGCGUGCAGGAUGAAGGCCUUCGGGUUGUAAACUGCUUUUGUACGGAACGAAAAGGUUUGGCCUAAUAAGCUGAGCUCAUGACGGUACCGUAAGAAUAAGCACCGGCUAACUACGUGCCAGCAGCCGCCGUAA
RNAcentral lists this ribosomal RNA (500 nucleotides) under uncultured bacterium. Its description in RNAcentral is "partial 16S ribosomal RNA". It matches the Rfam family "Bacterial small subunit ribosomal RNA", at positions 30 to 523 of the family's 1533-position model. The record is from RNAcentral.